RNAcentral lists this ribosomal RNA (51 nucleotides) under Bacillus toyonensis. Its description in RNAcentral is "partial 23S ribosomal RNA". The record is from RNAcentral. Lineage: Bacteria; Bacillati; Bacillota; Bacilli; Caryophanales; Bacillaceae.
GUGGUGACAUGUGGAGCUGACGAAUACUAAUAGAUCGAGGACUUAACCAUA